This 491-nucleotide ribosomal RNA is filed under the name uncultured bacterium. RNAcentral describes it as "bacterial SSU rRNA". It matches the Rfam family "Bacterial small subunit ribosomal RNA", at positions 30 to 517 of the family's 1533-position model. The record is from RNAcentral.
AUUGAACGCUGGCGGCAUGCCUUACACAUGCAAGUCGAACGGCAGCGGACCUUCGGGUGCCGGCGAGUGGCGAACGGGUGAGUAAUAUAUCGGAACGUACCUUUCAGUGGGGGAUAACGUAGCGAAAGUUACGCUAAUACCGCAUAUUCUGUGAGCAGGAAAGCAGGGGAUCGCAAGACCUUGCGCUGAUUGAGCGGCCGAUAUCAGAUUAGCUAGUUGGUGAGGUAAAGGCUCACCAAGGCGACGAUCUGUAGCGGGUCUGAGAGGAUGAUCCGCCACACUGGAACUGAGACACGGUCCAGACUCCUACGGGAGGCAGCAGUGGGGAAUUUUGGACAAUGGGCGCAAGCCUGAUCCAGCCAUGCCGCGUGAGUGAAGAAGGCCCUAGGGUUGUAAAGCACUUUCAGUAGGGAGGAAUUAGUAGGGUUAAUAACCUUAUGAAAUGACGUUACCUACAGAAGAAGUACCGGCUAACUCCGUGCCAGCAGCCG